RNAcentral lists this long non-coding RNA (2746 nucleotides) under Strigops habroptila (Kakapo). RNAcentral's name for it is "lncRNA (ENSSHBG00005015228.1)". Lineage: Eukaryota; Metazoa; Chordata; Aves; Psittaciformes; Psittacidae. The record is from RNAcentral.
UGCUGGGGGCAGUAUUUGCGGUCUGGGGGGGGUGUAUUUGCGGUGCUGGGGGAGUAUUUGUGGUGCUGGGUUGUUCCAUUUGCAGUGCUGGGCGGGGGGGUAUUUGUGGUGCUGGGUUGUUCCAUGUGCGGUGUGGGGGUGUCCCAUUGGCGGCGCUGGGUUGUUCCAUGUGCAGUGUAGGGGUGGCCACCAUGGAGCUUUGGCUUGUCUGCUCCGUCCCUUCCCGGCACUCCUCAGCCUUUGCACAGAGCGAGUCGCUGAAGUGUCAACCUCUUUGCUGGUGAAGAUGUUAGUUGAGAUGGAGCUCUGGAGGAUUCAUGCCCCAUCAAUACCUGCUCUGCUCCAGUUAGCCAUAGGGCCCAACAUCAUCACAGGACCUUCAUCACAGGAGAACUGAGAUUGGAAGGGACGCCAGGAGGUCUCAAGACCAACCUGCCAGAAACAGGGUCAGACCAAGUGGUUCAAGGCUUGAUUCAGUCUGACUUGGAAAACCCCAAGGCCAGAGACUGCACAGCCUCUCUGGGGGACCUGAUGCAGCACUUGCCUCAGAGUAUGGGAGCAAGGUUUCCUUAUGUCCUGGCUGAACCUCUCCUCUGUCCCUAUCCCCCAUUGCCUUUUGUCCUCCCACCAGGCACCAUGAUGAGGAGCCUGGCUCUGUAUUCUCCAUGUCCUCCCUGCCGGUACAGGCAGCCAGUCCCUGACAGCCUUCCCUUCCCAAGAUCUCCGGUCCCCAUCAGCCUUCCCUUCUCCAGGCUGGACAAGCCCAGCUCCCCCAGCCUCUCCCCACAGGCAAUGUGCUCCUGUCCCUGGCUCUCCUGAGGGCCCGUUGCUAAACCCACUCCUGCUUGCCAAUAUUGUUCCUGAACUGGGGAUCUGAAACCUGGAUGGAGUAUUCCAGGGCAUCCCUUCCCUUGUUCUCAUGCCGUGCUCCUGGUCGUACAGCUCAAGGUGCUGCUGUCCUCCCUUGCUGCCAGGGCAUGCGCUGCCUCCUGUCCAGCUCCUGCCCACCCAGACUUUUGCCAUGGGCUGCUCCCAGCCAGGCAGCCCCAGCCUGUGCCGUUGCAGAUGGCUGGAACCACAGGAGGUGUAGCAUGGAGACAAGAAGGAUGAGGAGGGUAGAUGCCCCCUGCAUGAAGGCGAAGCUUGGAUUUCUUGAGGUCCCCUAUGUGACAGGCCUCCUGGUGUUCCUGCCUGACUUCCUCUUGGUCGGGAUGCAUCGCUCCUGAGCUUGGAGGAGGUGAUCCUUGAAUAUUGUCCAACUUUCUUGGGCCCGUCUUCCCUCCAGGGCUUUAUCCCAUGGCACUCCACCAAGCAGAUCCCUCAGAAGCCAAAGUCUGCUCUCCUCAAGUCCAGGCAGACAGUGGCCACGGGUGGGCUGAGGGGGCAGGACGAUGUCCUUGGGCAGCUGACUGAGGAGGCACAUCCGCCCGUUGCAUGUCUCCCCCGUCUCUUCACCCUGGGAACCGCGCAUCCUCAGGGCCAGUGGCCAUCUUUUGGGAGCCACCUGGUGCUGUAGCUGGGUGCUGCUGCUCUCCCUGUCCCCUGAGGCAGCUCCAGGAGAAAGCCCAGUGCAGAGCCCAGCAGCACCUCGUGACAAUGGAACGCCACUGCUGCUCCUGUGUCUGGAUCUGCACAACCACGCUUCCAAACAUCCUCGGGCCCUCCAGCGGUACUGGGCUUGUUCUUGCUGGUGAGGCCAGAAUGGUAUGUGCAAGGUGCCCCUGUGCCACCAGCUGCUGCCCAGCUUCCCAGCUUGCAGCUACAGCGUGACUCAGGAGCCCUGACGCCCACGCCUGGACUGAGGACCCUAGAGCAACACUGUGGGUUGUGGGGCUGUGUGGGGCAGGCUCCCAUCUCUCAGUCCUCACCGCCAUUCUCCAGUCAUGGAGGAUGCCCCAAGCAGGUAGCACGAGCUUUCCGUGGCCGGUGCCCAGGAGGUGCAUGGCGUGGGCUCUGCCUCCCAGAGAAGACCUGGAGGCUGCUGCUGGCGGAGCAGGCAUCUUGGUGACAUUUGCCAAUCAAGCGGCCAACUAAUUCCUUUGUGAAAGGGACAAGAAAGCAACAGUCAGUAACAGAAGCACAGAGCAAACAGCUGUGCUCUGCAGCUUAGUUCACCCACAUUCCCACUUCAUGUAGCAUAGGCCAGGCAGGAUUGAUGGAAGGCAGUGCCAGUGUGGUACAGAGUUCUGCUGCUCUGUGACAAGCCAAGGUAGGUACAGAUCAGGAAGCACAGCUCAUUUGGAUAGAUCCAGCCUCCUAUCUUUUAGAAUGACACAAAGACAUGAUGGGACAAAGCCAGGCCUGGUAAAGGCUACCCUCUUCCUACAGUCAAGAGAAGUCACAUCCUCUCCCCAUGUCCCACCACUUUUUUGUAUUCUUUUUUAAAGCAUGCUACCUGUAGUUUUCAUUCAACUAUGAAAUACUAAGUUUUAGCAAUUUGUAGCUAAUUAGAUUAGAAAGGGAGUAGACAAGUGCACAGGAGAGUAAACCAGGCUACCACGCCUGUUGGAGUGCAGAGUUUCUGGACAGCCGUGCAGGGUGAUGAAGAGACAUCUGUGCAAGCCCUGUCACUUCGACUCUUCCACUGGCUCUUGCCACCACUUACUGCCAGAGGCCAGAUCCCAGAGCAGAAGUGUUGGGCCCAAGUCAGCACGGAUAAUCCUACACAACCUAAAGUGAGCUGCCUUGAGAAAAGUGACUGCCUGUUUUCACUGAUCACUCAAACGUAUUUUGCUGCUGUAGAACU